GGAGGGGUGCCUGAGAGGCCGAAAGGGAUGGUUUCGAAAACCAUUGUAGCUAUUGCUACCGUGAGUUCGAAUCUCACCCCCUCCGCCA
RNAcentral lists this transfer RNA (88 nucleotides) under Parcubacteria group bacterium CG08_land_8_20_14_0_20_43_9. RNAcentral describes it as "tRNA-Ser". It matches the Rfam family "tRNA". From Rfam's summary of the family: Transfer RNA (tRNA) molecules are approximately 80 nucleotides in length. The record is from RNAcentral.